GAAUAAUUAAAGGAUUAGUGGACUAAAUUGGACGAAAGAAAAGUUAGAAGUUAGAGGUUGAGGAGGUGGCAAACUCAAGGACUAAAGGAGACUUUUGUCUCAUUUAUCUAAGCCACUUGCAUAUGAGUUUAAACUCAGCAAGCUUAUCAUUUUCAGCUCCCAAAUUUCGUACUCCAUCCUUUCUCCAUGGAAGAUCAUCAACCAAAUUUCAAAGGAGCAUAACUUCUUCGUUUCUCAACGAAAUUGGACGAUUCUUGUGGCCACGGAACGAGAAGAAGGAGAGCUACUGAUCUAGCCCUAUUGUUCAAGGUGUUCUUGAGUUGAAUUGAAGCAAAGUUGAUGGUGAAUUUGAGCUUGAAGUGUUUGGCCAUGAUCAACAAUCCAAGGUGAGACUCGACGAAGCGACUAUCGACAAGGCUUGAGGGGAACGGAUCGAGGUGUCUUCGUGUUUAUUUAAAGAUUAUGGAUAGCAAGUGGUGAGUACACUUUAAAUUACUCGUCAAUAUUCAUAAAGCCGCAUAUUUUAUUACGAAAGGCUAUAUGAAUAUUUAUAUAUUUGAAAUGUUUGUUUUUAAAAAUGUAUACGUAUGUGUGUUUCGAAAA
Molecule: long non-coding RNA, 603 nt
Organism: Mercurialis annua (annual mercury)
Lineage: Eukaryota; Viridiplantae; Streptophyta; Magnoliopsida; Malpighiales; Euphorbiaceae
Exons: 3
Source: RefSeq, a predicted model, not a curated record